GCCGAGAUAGCUCAGUUGGUAGAGCAAUGGUAUCGUAAACCAUGGGUCGCAGGUUCAACUCCUGUUCUCGGCUCCA
Molecule: transfer RNA, 76 nt
Filed under: Patescibacteria group bacterium
Lineage: Bacteria
Description: tRNA-Thr
Rfam family: tRNA
About the family: Transfer RNA (tRNA) molecules are approximately 80 nucleotides in length. Their secondary structure includes four short double-helical elements and three loops (D, anti-codon, and T loops).
Source: RNAcentral